CUGAAUAUAAAAUUUUCAUUAUUUGUAUUGCGCUUUUGCGCUGACCUAUUUUGACACCUGGUCUUGUGCGCAGCAGGAGACAUUUACUGAUCGAUGAUAGCCGGACGCGUGUACUAAAAUUAUUAUUGCAUUGUUUUCGUACUUAAGGAAGAACAAGUUGUUGUCGUAGUCAGUUCAUAAUAUGCCACUUGCACUGGCAUUUGUCAGAAAGCAUUGUAGACAGAUUUAGCAUACUGUGUAGUACUCAUACUUUUGUUUACUAUCCGCAUUCCAUCAGCAAUGUCUACACCAUACAACACGACGCUUGUGCUUUCCAAUGUCGAAAUUGGAGUAAUGGUAUCAGUGAAUGUCUUAUUCAGCGUCGGUGGUACAAUAGGCAACCUCUGCGUAUGCUUCGCAUUCCUGCUGUACCGACAUCUACGCAACAAUAUGAAUAUCUUCAUCUUCAGUUUAGCGUGUUCUGACCUGCUUGUGUGUAUGGUAGCUCAGCCAAUGUUUAUUUACAAACUGCUGCAGAACCUCCCUCAGGAACAUACUACUACAUUGUUGGAAGAUAUCCGUAAACGGCUAACAUGGGUCUCACUGUUAGCCUCAAUUGGAAACCUUGUCGGCGUUACGUUGGAUCGUUAUUGUAUCAUCUCCAAUCCAUUGCGGUAUGCUGCGCGAGUCACGACAAAAUCUGCCUGUGUGCUUGUAGCUGUGAUAUGGAUAAUUGCCUCAGUGCUAGGGAUAAUAACAGAGUCUUACAGAGAGGCUAAAGUCAUAGGACAAAUACUCGUGGUGGUUCUACUGGCUGGGAUGAUCAUACCACUAUAUUGUCGGAUUUUAUGCAUCGCCAGAAGGCAUGCACGCGUGAUUCACACGGCUUCCCUCUCUCAUGUGCAGGAUAACAUGCACACACUUAGUGUUCAGCGUUCGCGCGGUUCAACUGUACAACAAGCAGACAGGAACAGCCUAAAGACACUGGGAAUUAUCUCCAGUAUCUUUCUCAUUGGAUGGUUUCCGCUUCUGAUAUUGCCAUUCAUAUACAGAGCUGGGAUUCAUGACCGCGAUGUGUUGCUGCAAAUAUUGCAAUGGGCGAACACGCUAGCUCUGUGCUCGUCAGCCUGCAAUCCACUAGUCUAUUCUUGGAGAGACAAACGAUUUCGUAAAGCUUUGACUGUGACUUACGGAAGAUGGAAGUCCAGACGUUCAAUUUCUAUGACUGACUCUCAUACAGGCUGCACAGAAAAAUUUGAAAUGAACACAUUUGUGUGCUCAUUCGGCAAAAAUCAACCUGGGCCUUUAACAGCCUGUGCACCGUCUUAAAUUUGGGUUUUAGCAAAUCUAAUUUUGGCGUUUCAUUAGUCACAUAUCUUUAGUGACAACUGAUGAUUAUAUAUUCAUGUUCACAAAAUUUGCGAUUUAAUCAAUUUAAUGAGACUUUGGACACGUGUGAUAUAUAAUAUACGUAUAUUCACUAACAUUAAUCAGUACUUUCUGUUUGUAUAUAUUUACUGGGAAAUUAAUUACGUUAAAUGAAAAACAGACCGCGCCAUAAGUACAUUUCUUUAUAAUAACAUUGCUAGUAUUGCAUAAUUUGCAUUAAACCUGAUUGAAGAUAAAUUUUGCGCAACAUAUCAUGCCGUACGCUUUCUUCGUUUACUCUUCAUAAUUUUAAAAAUGCUAAAUUCCAAAAGCUUUAAAAAUCACUCCAGUUAAUACUGCGCAACUUGGUAACUUUGAAAUACAAUAUCAGAAGUUUAAUGUUUAUAGCGCUUCGAUUACAAGGUUUCAUCACUGAUCUGUACUAUAGAAGAUCAGUGGGUUUCAUCGGGCCUGGUUUCAUUGAUAUCAUUGCAUGUAUCCCAGUAGCUUGCACAACUUAAUGCUGAGGUGCAGAGUUUCUUAUGUUUGUUGACAUAAGCAAACAAAUUGCUUGUAAAUUUUUGCUGUAAAAACGUAUAAUAAUACCUGUGUAUAAAAUUUGUAUCAAUUAUAAAAUUCACA
RNAcentral lists this long non-coding RNA (1989 nucleotides) under Paramuricea clavata. Lineage: Eukaryota; Metazoa; Cnidaria; Anthozoa; Malacalcyonacea; Plexauridae. The record is from RNAcentral.